GUCGUCGGACUCGUACCCGCAUUUUGCUUCUGUCUAUUGCCAAACUGCCCUCGCCUCCCUCCCAACCCAUGAUCCGCGAACGAGUCCGGCGGCCGCGCCUCUGUUGCGGGUCAGGUUCGGCGGCCUCUCGGCCCGCGACGAGGCGAACGGAUCCGGCGGCCGCUCUACCACGACCGGAUCUGACGGGCACUCGACCGCGACGAGGCGACCGCAACAAGAUCCGGUGACCGCUCCUCCGUCCGCUGCCGCGACGAGGUGACCAUUGGAGCUCCUCCAAGAAGAAGACGUCCAGUGGAUUGUCACAGCAAUUGACGAUAUAAUCAUGGAGUACCCACAUUCCUCUACAUUGGAGUGAAAGCUCAAUGACGCCACAUGAAAUGUGGCCAGCAUAUAAAUAUAUGCUGCCCACGCUCCUAGACCUGCUGUAGCGAGUGGGAGAGGAGUUGAAUUUGAAAAACUUGCAGCAGUCAGUCCAUUCAGCAUGAGGACAAGAGAAACUACAAAGUAGAUGCUUCCCCAAAAGAUCCAUGUUGGAUGUUGUGCUUGUAUGUUACUAAGAACACCAGUUGCAGCUCCCCAAAACACAGAUCCCAGACCAUAAAGGCAGAUCUUCUGAUACCCCUCAUAGGGGACCAUUUCUGUCCUAUGUUACUGCCUUUCUUGGCCACUGAAAAUCGGGCUAGGAGCGAACAGGCCUCCAGCAUAGUGUUAGGCGCUCCUCAGUAGGAUCCCAGCAGGAUAAUUUUGAAUCCUGGGAUGAAUUUCUGGGCUGGGUUAAAAAAAAACCAAAAAAAAGGUAGAGGGCUCCCCUGCCAACGGUUUUAAAAAAACCUGGCUAGGAGGACGCGGUCUAAUGCCAUGAGAAUGGCUGUAAGGCAAGGUGUGACUUACUGGUGUGGUCUAUUGCUUUAGUUUUGUUUGGGUAUUAAGCCUACAAUGCCCUGGCCCUUUUCGCUGUUGAUGUGAUUGGUUGGUGUCUGUCGAUCAGACCAAUUGUUUCUUUACCUAAGGAAUAUGUUGACAUGCUAAAAGGUAUGAUGCCUGACAUAUCUAUGUUUGUCGUAGUUUUUGUGAUAGUCUUUGCGACUUGCUUACUGCUGUUUUUUUUUUGUUGUUGUGGUCCUGUAUUUUUUAUAUCAUUUUUCAGCGACAUAUCCUCAAAGAUCAUAUUACGGUGGACCCGAUUAUGUGUGCCAGUACUGUAAUGCUGCUUUCUGGUGCAAUGAGAGGAUAGUAAGUGAGAGCUCUUAGUCCCAACAACGGGUUGUCUAUAGGUUGUGUUGUCAUGCUGGAAGAGUGUCCCUGCCCAAACGGAUGCAUCCUCUGCCUCCUUUGUGUAAUUGCUUUAUUUUUAUGGUGGUCCAUGCAGCAAUGCUUUUAUGCGUUUGAUUGGACAGUACAACUCUCUUUGCUUUCACCUCUCUUGGAGUCGAUGUGGACAGAUCCAUUAAUACUGGUGCUGGCCAUAUGUCUUUCGGUUAAAUGGCAUAGUUCAUCAUCAGAUUGGAUUGCUGAUUCCUCCACUAGGCAAAAGGCCUGAGUAUGCACAGCUAUAUAUUCAUGACACGACAAAUUAGUUACAGAAUAGAUUAAAUAUCUUUUUAGGAGACACCACUGAGUCUACAGAUCCACAGUUAGUCAGUGCUCUUACCGAGAUGCUAAAUAAGUGUAAUCCAUUUUUUCAGAAGUUUAGAAUGGCCAGUGAUAGAUUGCAGUCACCUGAUGCACCUGAAAUUGCAAUUAAUUUGAUUGGGACAGUAGAUGGUCAUGGUGAUAGAUAUUCUACCCCAAUUGCCACUGAGGUUGCUGCGCUCCUGGUUGGUGGUAUGUCAGUUACUGCUUCUCAGUUUGACAUUGUUGUUGAGACUAUAAGCAUCUCGGUACCAUGGCGCUGCAGUAUCCUCUUUUAUUUCCCUAUGGUGAACAUGGGUUUCACACUAAAAUCAGGCUUAUCCCUGACUGUUCUGGUGCUAUUAAAGGUCGCGAGAAUGUUAAGAGUUCCCAGCCUUUGUUGCACUGUGCUGCUGGCAGCUUUGGAAGGCCAGAAACGUUUUUUGCUUUCAGGAAUGAAACACACAGCAUUGAUCAGGUGUUGGGCGCAUGCAAAUCGGCUGCAGAACAGUGGCCUUUCAGGUUCAAGAAAAAGCACUUAACAGAGAAAUGGUGCCAAGUCUUCGAGAUGGCAAGACAACUGUAGCGUUUUGUAAACGUUUUAACUGACACCGUUUUGGGUUCAGCAUCACCACUUGCGUGAUGUACAAAGCGAACGUACUGUAACUACCUUUGGCCGUUUCGGGCCAUUAUACAUAAAACCAGGUGGGGAACGCCUCCCCACCGUAAAAAAAAACUAUUAUAAGCAUUAUCGUAAGGGCGAGUAUAAUCCUGAAAUUUGUAGUGGUCGACUUUCCUAGCAAUUUCAGGUAAAUGCUUUUUCCUGUGUUGAGGCAAGUAGACUGAGCAAUCAUUUCUUUAAUCAAGAUAAGCUGUGCUGUGAAACCUAUCGAGGAAUUUCAGAUGCUAUUGGAAAAGGAUCAUUAACAGGAAAAGGUGUUGGUGUUAAGAAAACAUUGCCUGCCAGCUUUAUUGGGAGCAAAAGAUACAUGCAGAAGAACUACAAUGAUUGUUUGGCUAUAUGUUGUACCUAUGACCCUCUUGACAUAUUUAUUACUACAUUUACAUGUAACUCCAAAUGGCCUGCGAUACUGGAGGCAAUUAGGUUUGAACCAGGUCAGAAACCAUGUGACAGGAAAUAUGGUUGCACGUGUUUUCCACAUGAAACUUGAUGAGUAUCUUGAAGAUACAGAGACGGUCAUGUGUUCGGUCCCGUUUGUGCAGGUCUGUGCGUGUCCUGUACUUAGACUAUCUCAUUCCAUUGCUAUUCAUGCUAUGCAUUGCUUUCUAAAA
Long non-coding RNA from Sorghum bicolor (sorghum), 2904 nucleotides. RefSeq lists it as uncharacterized. The transcript has 2 exons. NCBI's taxonomy places the organism in Eukaryota, Viridiplantae, Streptophyta, Magnoliopsida, Poales, Poaceae. The record is from RefSeq and is a predicted model, not a curated record.